Peromyscus eremicus (cactus mouse) is the source of this 1607-nucleotide long non-coding RNA. RefSeq lists it as uncharacterized. The record is from RefSeq and is a predicted model, not a curated record. The transcript is spliced from 3 exons. NCBI's taxonomy places the organism in Eukaryota, Metazoa, Chordata, Mammalia, Rodentia, Cricetidae.
ACACACACACACACACAGCCAAUAGCACCUAGUUUAGUUGAAGAGCUGGAGCAAGAACAUAGCUGGGCAAGGCAAGGCAAUAUUCAUAUUGUGAAAGAAAGCCCCAAGAUGAGCUGGCCACAAGAUAAAACGUUAGAUUUAUUUGUUAUGUAUCCCUCUCCUCUGGUGAGUGGCAUCUACUUGCAGACACAGCCCACUCUUGAGAAAGAAAAGCCAUCAGGUAAGUUGACCUGGUAGAAAAAGGAUCACUGGAGGAUGAGUAGCCAUGAGGGGUCAUCCACUUCCAACAGCUCACCUUCUCUUGUCCCUGUGAAAAAUCAACCCGGCUACUGAGGCACUAGAGAGGGUGAGCAGGCCCGUGUUCCUCCAGCCUGACCAGUGUCCUCUGCAGUGCCUGUGGAAAUGCUGAGGGAAGCAUAAAUGUCUCUCUCAAAGAGGAGCCUCAGCGAGAUGACUCCAACAGCAGCUCUCUCCACCAUGGACACCUCCUUCCAAGGAAGAUAUCCAGGCCCUCAAGCAGCGGCGGCUGGUGUCUACCCACUCCAGCCUAGUUGACUAACAUUCAACAUUCUACAUCCUAGCCUGGUGUUCAUGCAUACAAGAAGCUUCAUCAGUGGACAUACAGGCGGCCUUUGUAAGGUAGUCAUCUAGUUCUAGAACAUAGAAUGUGGAGAAGAAAAUCCAAUCACUCUUCUCCCCCAAGAGAAAGAACUCCGGCACCUACCUCAGGGGACUACUAUGAACUUGACUGAAAUAACGAUCAUGCCGAGUGUGAGCCCUUGGGAGGAACCAGAGGAGCCACUCUGAAAGGUCACACAACAGUAAGGACUGGUUUUCAUGACAAAGGAAAGAAUACUUUGGAAACAAAAGAGACCACUGGGGACUCAGGAAGGAUGGGAGAGCUUCCUUUUUCAUGUGUGUCAACUAAAAACAUCUUCCCCAAAUGAAACAGUAACAAACGCAGACCACUCACACAGUCGGUGCUAGUUUCAAUGUCCUCUACAAGAUUCAGGACUGUGGAUUAUCUAAAGACGCGUUUGCAUGGCUGGUUAGUUUCAAUGGGAACCAAAAGUACAUUCAGAAUGUAACAUUAGAGGAAAGUCUACAGUUCCCCUGCUGCUUGAGAAAAUCUGGGAAAAGUGCUGAUUCGAUGUCAGGAUGUAUGAGCCAGACAGCACAGAACUGGGCAGAACCCAGUGUGAUGGAGCAGACAGAUACGCCAAAACCAGAACUUGCCAGCCCUUGUGUGUGUAUGUAAUUUUUGAGAUACUGCAUGUGAGUUUUCCAUAAGAUUAUAAAUAAGCAUUUUACAUGUGUUUAUUUAUUAUGAUGUAGAUGCAUGUAUGACGUGUGCUUGUGGAGAGCAAAGGAUAAUUUUCAGGAAUGGCUUCUGUCCUUCAUACCAUGUAUAUUCCAGGGAUGGAACUCACUCAGGCUCACUCAAGGUGGUCAGGCCCAAUUUUAUGAAAUUUUUGUUUGUUUUUAAGACAAGCUUUCACUAUGCAGACCUACUUGGCCUGAAACUUGCUAUGUAAUAGACUGGCUGGCUUCAAACUCACUGGGAUUAUUAAAAGCAUGUACCAUCCCACUCUGUUCAAUAUUAAGUA